This 1427-nucleotide ribosomal RNA is filed under the name human metagenome. RNAcentral's name for it is "bacterial LSU rRNA". It matches the Rfam family "Bacterial large subunit ribosomal RNA", at positions 1070 to 2499 of the family's 2925-position model. The record is from RNAcentral.
AGGAGGUGGAUAUUCACAGACAACCAGGAGGUUGGCUUAGAAGCAGCCAUACCUUAAAAGAGUGCGUAAUAGCUCACUGGUCGAGAGUAUCUGCGCCGAAGAUGUAACGGGGCUAAGACAUAAACCGAAGCUGUGGAAGAUGCUUUGCAUCUUGGUAGGAGAGCGUUCUGUAAGCCGAUGAAGGCAGGCUGUAAGGCCUGCUGGAGGUAUCAGAAGUGAGAAUGCAGGAAUGAGUAGCGAGAAGGCGGGUGAGAAUCCCGCCGGCCGGAAGUCCAAGGUUUCCAGGGGAAGGUUUGUCCGCCCUGGGGAAGUCGGGACCUAAGCCGAGGCUAAGUAGCGCAGGCGAAUGGAAAAUAGGUUAAUAUUCCUAUACCACUUAAUUAACGUUAUUACUGAUGGAGUGACGCAGGAAGGUAUGUGAGAAGGCUGACGGUUUAGCCUUUCUAAGGAAGUAGCGUGAGCAUAUAGGUAAAUCCGUAUGCUUAAACGUGAGAACUGAUGGGUAAGCACCUCUUGGUGUAAGUCACAAAUCCUACACUGCCAAGAAAAACUUCUAAGGAGGAAAUUAAGUGCCCGUACUGUAAACCGACACAGGUGGACAGAGUGAGAAACUUAAGGCCGACAGGAUAACUCUAGCUAAGGAACUCUGCAAAAUAGCCCCGUAACUUCGGGAGAAGGGGUGCCUGACAUACCUGAAGGAGAGAAGCGCUCCCAGGGGAAACAGGCCGCAGUGAAGAGUCUCAAGCAACUGUUUACCAAAAACACAGGUCUAUGCUAAGCUGAAAGGCGACGUAUAUGGGCUGACACCUGCCCAGUGCCGGAAGGUUAAGAGGAGGAGUGAGAGCUCCGAUUUGAAGCCCCGGUGAACGGCGGCCGUAACUAUAACGGUCCUAAGGUAGCGAAAUUCCUUGUCGGGUAAGUUCCGACCUGCACGAAUGGUGAAAUGAUUUGAGAGCUGUCUUGGCUGGAGACCUGGUGAAGUUGUAAUGCCGGUGAAGAUACCGGCUACCUGCAGUAGGACGGAAAGACCCCGUGGAGCUUUACUGUAGCUUGGCAUUGGGUUUUGGCAAUGUGUGUAUAGGAUAGUUGGGAGACUAUGAAGUAAUGGCGUCAGUUGUUACAGAGUCGCUGUUGGAAUACCAACCAUAUGUUGUUGAAAUUCUAAUCUGGUAUCGGAGACAGUGCUAGGUGGGCAGUUUGACUGGGGCGGUCGCCUCCAAAAGAGUAACGGAGGCGUUCAAAGGUUCCCUCAGGUUGGAUGGAAAUCAACCUAAGAGUGCAAACGCAUAAGGGAGCUUGACUGCGAGACUGACGGGUCGAGCAGGUACGAAAGUAGGAGUUAGUGAUCCGGUGGUUCCGUAUGGAAGGGCCAUCGCUCAACGGAUAAAAGCUACCCCGGGGAUAACAGGCUGAUACUUCCCAAGAGU